UACGAAGGUCCCAAGCGUUAUCCGGAUUUAUUGGGUUUAAAGGGUGCGUAGGCGGAAUAGUAAGUCAGUGGUGAAAGCCUGUCGCUUAACGACAGAACUGCCAUUGAUACUGCUAAUCUUGAGUAUAAUUGAAGUGGGCGGAAUGUGUCGUGUAGCGGUGAAAUGCUUAGAUAUGACACAGAACACCGAUUGCGAAGGCAGCUCACUAAACUAUAACUGACGCUGAGGCACGAAAGCGUGGGGAUCAAACAGG
RNAcentral lists this ribosomal RNA (253 nucleotides) under uncultured bacterium. Its description in RNAcentral is "partial 16S ribosomal RNA". It matches the Rfam family "Bacterial small subunit ribosomal RNA", at positions 524 to 776 of the family's 1533-position model. The record is from RNAcentral.